CGGCGGACGGGUGAGUAACGCGUGGGUAACCUGCCUUAUACAGGGGGAUAACAGUUAGAAAUGACUGCUAAUACCGCAUAAGCGCACAGCUUCGCAUGAAGCGGUGUGAAAAACUCUGGUGGUAUACGAUGGUUCCGCGUCUGAUUAGCUAGUUGGUGGGGUAAGGGCCUACCAAGGCAACGAUCAGUAGCCGGCCUGAGAGGGUGAACGGCCACAUUGGGACUGAGACACGGCCCAAACUCCUACGGGAGGCAGCAG
RNAcentral lists this ribosomal RNA (258 nucleotides) under uncultured bacterium. RNAcentral's name for it is "partial 16S ribosomal RNA". It matches the Rfam family "Bacterial small subunit ribosomal RNA", at positions 96 to 354 of the family's 1533-position model. The record is from RNAcentral.